Molecule: long non-coding RNA, 2124 nt
Organism: Spinacia oleracea (spinach)
Lineage: Eukaryota; Viridiplantae; Streptophyta; Magnoliopsida; Caryophyllales; Amaranthaceae
Exons: 3
Source: RefSeq, a predicted model, not a curated record
UGUUUCCCAAAAAGAUUUCAUUUCCCGCAACUCCUCCUUCAUCUUCUCUGGUCACUGCUUCCUUGAAACAUUUUGCUGCUUCUCUCUCCUUCCCCUCUCUGGUUUCUCAUCAUUUUUGCGCUUCCCCUCUCUGAUUUCUCUGCUCCUCCCCCUCUCUGGUUCUCAAUCUGGGCGCGAAAUUCAACACCCGCAGCACACACCGCAUGACUAGCCUCGUCGCCGUUGUUGUUCCCUCACCGCCGAAUUCGUCCAAUUCCUUCCGCCGCCGCGACACACAGGCGUCACUCCUCCUUCUCUUAGAGCCUUUCUUCAGUUGAUUGAGGCUCAGCAGCUGGCGGCAUUGUCAGUGAGAUAUGAGCAGGAGAUGAUGAUGAGGAUCUGGGAACAACAACAGCAGCAGCAGCAAUAACAACAUCAUUUUGAGGUUUCAUGAUGGAGGCAAUGGUGAAUAUAUACGAGGGAAUGAGGGAGCGAUGGUUGUUGCUGGGUUUAACCAGGUGGGGUGUGCAUCAGCUGCUACAACAAUGUUUUUGGGUCUUAGAGUGACCACAUUUGAUCCUAACGCAUACAAUCAGAUGAGGUCUGCAUCUGCUGCUACAUUGUAUUUCGCUCUUUGACUAACAAAGUUGAGAGGUUGUGGUGGUUCAGGAUGUCUUUAUAGUAAGCAGCUUCAUAAACAAAGGGUCUAAUAGGAUCCAUUGGGACCACAGUAUUGGCACUGGCAUUCCUUGAUGGGCACUGCUGGCCUGCUGCUGCAUAAGCGAAGUUCAUGUUGGGGUCCUGGCCGGUUGCUGAAUUGAAAGUGUACAGUGUACGGAUCAAGUAGGUACCUAUGUAUGCAUUGGUGGAAUGAAACAUAUUUUUGUGAAUUUACUGUUCAAUACUUAGGAUGUAUAAUAAUCAUAGUAGACCUCUUCAAUGUGACUAGUUAGUGGUUAACAACUUAACACCUCUUUUUACAUUUUUAUUGAUUUUUUCCCUUCUACUCAUUGUGACCAAAAAACCUUGACCAAAACAGGUGAGUAUAAGUCUUAGAAGCAUAAACCUAAGUAUAAUGAACAUGUAAAGGGUUUAAAAUACUCAUUUAGGUUCCUUAGUUGAAAGUUGGGACCGAACUAAGCCAUAUUAGUCAAAAUGUGACCUUUAAUGAUCAAACGAGCCUUAAAUAUGUAUAACUUGACCAAAGUAGGCGAGAAUGAUUAUUUGAACAUUUAAAAUACAUAUAACGAACAUGUAAAGUGUUAAAAUACUUAUUUAAGUAUAUUAGUUGAAAGUUAGGAGCGAAAUAAGUCAUUUUAGUCAAAAUAUGAACUAUAAUGAACCAACGAGCCUUAAAUGUGCGUAACUUGACCAAAGUGGGUGAUAAUGAGUCUUUGAAAUAUAAAUCUAAGUGUAUUAAACAUGUAAAGGGUUUAAAAUACUCAUUUAGGUUCAUUAGUUGAAAGUUGAGACCGAAAUAAGCUAUUUUAGUCACAAUGUGACCUAUAAUGUUCAGACGAGCCUUAAAUGUGUGUAACUUGACCAAAGUAGGUCAGAAUGAGUCUUGAAAAAUUAAAUUAAGUCUAAUGCACAUGUAAGGGAUUUAAAGUACUAUUUUAAGUUCAUUAGUUGAAAGUUAGGACCAAAAUAAGCCAUUUUAGUCGGAAUAUGACCUAUAACAAUAAAAAAAGACCUUAUAUGUGCAUAGCUUCACCAAAAUAGGUGAGUAUGAGUCUUAGGAACAAAAAACCAAGUAUAUUGAACAUCUAACGGGUUUAAAAUACUAUUUAGGUUCAUUAAUUGAAAGUUGGGACAUAAAUAAGCCAUCUUAGUCAAAUGUGACCGAUAAUGAACUAACGAGUCUUAUAUGUGCAUAAAUUGACCAAUAGUGAAAAUUUGACCUAUAAUGAUCAAACGAGUCUUAUAUGUGCAUAAAUUGACCAAAAUGGGUGAUAAUGAGUCUUUUCAACAUAAAACUAAGUGUAUUAAACUUGUAAAGGGUUUAUAUUAUUUAUUUAAGUUCAUUAAUUGAAAUUUGGAACCAAAAUAAGUCAUUCUUGUAUUGAAUCUUAAAUAAUGGAUGCUAAUUUUUCAUAUGAUUGUAACGUAAUCGACUUUUAUAUUUACAAUUAUAUACUUUCUCCA